RNAcentral lists this ribosomal RNA (397 nucleotides) under uncultured bacterium. RNAcentral's name for it is "partial 16S ribosomal RNA". It matches the Rfam family "Bacterial small subunit ribosomal RNA", at positions 523 to 918 of the family's 1533-position model. The record is from RNAcentral.
AUACGUAGGUGACAAGCGUUAUCCGGAUUUACUGGGCGUAAAGGGCGUGUAGGCGGUCUUGCAAGUCAGAAGUGAAAUUCCUGAGCUCAACUCGGGCGCUGCUUCUGAAACUGCAGGACUUGAGUGCUGGAGGGGAUAGCGGAAUUCCUAGUGGAGCGGUAAAAUGGGCAGAUAUUAGGAAGAACACCGGUGGCGAAGGCGGCUAUCUGGACAGUAACUGACGCUGAGGCGCGAAAGCGUGGGGAGCAAACAGGAUUAGAUACCCUGGUAAUCCACGCCGUAAACGAUGAAUACUAGGUGUAGGGGGUAUCGACUCCCUCUGUGCCGCAGUUAACACAAUAAGUAUUCCGCCUGGGGAGUACGGCCGCAAGGUUGAAACUCAAAUGAAUUGGCGGGG